RNAcentral lists this ribosomal RNA (397 nucleotides) under uncultured bacterium. RNAcentral describes it as "bacterial SSU rRNA". It matches the Rfam family "Bacterial small subunit ribosomal RNA", at positions 30 to 429 of the family's 1533-position model. The record is from RNAcentral.
AUUGAACGCUGGCGGCAUGCCUUACACAUGCAAGUCGAACGGAUUCAAGGGGCUUGCUCCUUGAGUUAGUGGCGAACGGGUGAGUAAAGCAUCGGAACGUACCCAGUCGUGGGGGAUAACGUAGCGAAAGUUACGCUAAUACCGCAUACGUCCUGAGGGAGAAAGCGGGGGACCGAAAGGCCUCGCGCGAUUGGAGCGGCCGAUGUCAGAUUAGCUAGUUGGUGGGGUAAAAGCCUACCAAGGCGACGAUCUGUAGCUGGUCCGAGAGGAUGAUCAGCCACACUGGGACUGAGACACGGCCCAGACUCCUACGGGAGGCAGCAGUGGGGAAUUUUGGACAAUGGGGGCAACCCUGAUCCAGCCAUGCCGCGUGAGUGAAGAAGGCCUCGGUUGUAAG